This 340-nucleotide ribosomal RNA is filed under the name Streptomyces sp. 8.17. RNAcentral describes it as "bacterial SSU rRNA". It matches the Rfam family "Bacterial small subunit ribosomal RNA", at positions 49 to 390 of the family's 1533-position model. Lineage: Bacteria; Bacillati; Actinomycetota; Actinomycetes; Kitasatosporales; Streptomycetaceae. The record is from RNAcentral.
UAACACAUGCAAGUCGAACGAUGAACCACUUCNGUGGGGAUAAGUGGCGAACGGGUGAGUAUCACGUGGGCGAUCUGCCCUUCACUCUGGGACAAGCCCUGGAAACGGGGUCUAAUACCGGAUACAACACUCUCGGGCAUCCGAUGAGUGUGGAAAGCUCCGGCGGUGAAGGAUGANCCCGCGGCCUAUCAGCUUGUUGGUGAGGUUACGGCUCACCAAGGCGACCACNGGUUGCCCGCCUGAGAAGGCGACCGGCCACACUGGGACUGAGACACGGGCCAGACUCCUACGGGAGGCAGCAGUGGGGAAUAUUGCACAAUGGGCGAAAGCCUGAUGCACC